Molecule: ribosomal RNA, 457 nt
Filed under: uncultured bacterium
Lineage: Bacteria
Description: bacterial SSU rRNA
Rfam family: Bacterial small subunit ribosomal RNA
Source: RNAcentral
CCUACGGGAGGCAGCAGUGGGGAAUAUUGCACAAUGGGCGAAAGCUUGAUGCAGCGACGCCGCGUGGGGGAUGACGGCCUUCGGGUUGUAAACCUCUUUCACCAUCGACGAAGGUUCGGGUUUUCUCGGAUUGACGGUAGGUGGAGAAGAAGCACCGGCCAACUACGUGCCAGCAGCCGCGGUAAUACGUAGGGUGCGAGCGUUGUCCGGAAUUACUGGGCGUAAAGAGCUCGUAGGUGGUUUGUCGCGUUGUUCGUGAAAUCUCACGGCUUAACUGUGAGCGUGCGGGCGAUACGGGCAGACUUGAGUACUGCAGGGGAGACUGGAAUUCCUGGUGUAGCGGUGGAAUGCGCGGAUAUCAGGAGGAACACCGGUGGCGAAGGCGGGUCUCUGGGCAGUAACUGACGCUGAGGAGCGAAAGCGUGGGGAGCGAACAGGAUUAGAUACCCUUGUAGUC